RNAcentral lists this non-coding RNA (29 nucleotides) under Rattus norvegicus (Norway rat). Lineage: Eukaryota; Metazoa; Chordata; Mammalia; Rodentia; Muridae. The record is from RNAcentral.
UGCUUUUGAUGUUGGACAAAGAUUGUGGA